GACGAACGCUGGCGGCGUGCCUAAUACAUGCAAGUUGAGCGCUGAAGGUUGGUACUUGUACCAACUGGAUGAGCAGCGAACGGGUGAGUAACGCGUGGGGAAUCUGCCUUUGAGCGGGGGACAACAUUUGGAAACGAAUGCUAAUACCGCAUAAAAACUUUAAACACAAGUUUUAAGUUUGAAAGAUGCAAUUGCAUCACUCAAAGAUGAUCCCGCGUUGUAUUAGCUAGUUGGUGAGGUAAAGGCUCACCAAGGCGAUGAUACAUAGCCGACCUGAGAGGGUGAUCGGCCACAUUGGGACUGAGACACGGCCCAAACUCCUACGGGAGGCAGCAGUAGGGAAUCUUCGGCAAUGGACGAAAGUCUGACCGAGCAACGCCGCGUGAGUGAAGAAGGUUUUCGGAUCGUAAAACUCUGUUGGUAGAGAAGAACGUUGGUGAGAGUGGAAAGCUCAUCAAGUGACGGUAACUACCCAGAAAGGGACGGCUAUCUACGUG
RNAcentral lists this ribosomal RNA (497 nucleotides) under uncultured bacterium. RNAcentral describes it as "partial 16S ribosomal RNA". It matches the Rfam family "Bacterial small subunit ribosomal RNA", at positions 28 to 507 of the family's 1533-position model. The record is from RNAcentral.